UCUCAACGCAAAAGGUUUGGCAGGU
This 25-nucleotide non-coding RNA is filed under the name Mus musculus (house mouse). The record is from RNAcentral. Lineage: Eukaryota; Metazoa; Chordata; Mammalia; Rodentia; Muridae.